CCUACGGGAGGCAGCAGUGGGGAAUAUUGCACAAUGGGGGAAACCCUGAUGCAGCGACGCCGCGUGAGUGAAGAAGUAUUUCGUUAUGUAAAGCUCUAUCAGCAGGGAAGAAAAUGACGGUACCUGAGUAAGAAGCCCCGGCUAACUACGUGCCAGCAGCCGCGGUAAUACGUAGGGGGCAAGCGUUAUCCGGGUUUUCUGGGUGUAAAGGGAGCGUAGACGGCCGUGCAUGUCUGGAGUGAAAGGCGGGGGCUCAACCCCCGGACUGCUCUUGAAACUGUACGGCUGGAGUGCAGGAGAGGUAAGUGGAAUUCCUGGUGUAGCGGUGAAAUGCGUAGAUAUUAGGAGGGACACCAGUGGCGAAGGCGGCUUGCUGGACUGUAACUGACGUUGAGGCUCGAAAGCGUGGGGAGCAAACAGGAUUAGAUACCCCAGUAGUC
This 440-nucleotide ribosomal RNA is filed under the name uncultured bacterium. RNAcentral describes it as "partial 16S ribosomal RNA". It matches the Rfam family "Bacterial small subunit ribosomal RNA", at positions 338 to 795 of the family's 1533-position model. The record is from RNAcentral.